GAUGAACGCUGGCGGCGUGCCUAAUACAGGCAAGUCGAGCGAACGGACGAGAAGCUUGCUUUUCUGAUGUUAGCGGCGGACGGGUGAGUAACACGUGGAUAACCUACCUAUAAGACUGGGAUAACUUCGGGAAACCGUAGCUAAUACCGGAUAAUAUUUUGAACCGCAUGGUUCAAAAGUUAAAGACGUUCUUUCUGUCACUUAUGGAUGGAUCCGCGCUGCAUUAGCUAGUUGGUAAGGUAACGGCUUACCAAGGCAACGAUGCAUAGCCGACCUGAGAGGGUGAUCGGCCACACUGGAACUGAGACACGGUCCAGACUCCUACGGGAGGCAGCAGUAGGGAAUCUUCCGCAAUGGGCGAAAGCCUGACGGAGCAACGCCGCGUGAGUGAUGAAGGUCUUCGGAUCGUAAAACUCUGUUAUUAGGGAAGAACAUAUGUGUAAGUAAAUGUGCAUAUCUUGACGGUACCUAAUCAGAAAGCAACGGCUAACUACGUG
Molecule: ribosomal RNA, 497 nt
Filed under: uncultured bacterium
Lineage: Bacteria
Description: partial 16S ribosomal RNA
Rfam family: Bacterial small subunit ribosomal RNA
Source: RNAcentral